RNAcentral lists this ribosomal RNA (465 nucleotides) under Vreelandella stevensii. Its description in RNAcentral is "partial 16S ribosomal RNA". It matches the Rfam family "Bacterial small subunit ribosomal RNA", at positions 338 to 795 of the family's 1533-position model. The record is from RNAcentral. Lineage: Bacteria; Pseudomonadati; Pseudomonadota; Gammaproteobacteria; Oceanospirillales; Halomonadaceae.
CCUACGGGCGGCUGCAGUGGGGAAUAUUGGACAAUGGGCGAAAGCCUGAUCCAGCCAUGCCGCGUGUGUGAAGAAGGCCUUCGGGUUGUAAAGCACUUUCAGUGGGGAAGAAAGCCUUGGGGCUAAUACCCUCGAGGAAGGACAUCACCCACAGAAGAAGCACCGGCUAACUCCGUGCCAGCAGCCGCGGUAAUACGGAGGGUGCGAGCGUUAAUCGGAAUUACUGGGCGUAAAGCGCGCGUAGGCGGUCUGAUAAGCCGGUUGUGAAAGCCCCGGGCUCAACCUGGGAACGGCAUCCGGAACUGGCAGGCUAGAGUGCAGGAGAGGAAGGUAGAAUUCCCGGUGUAGCGGUGAAAUGCGUAGAGAUCGGGAGGAAUACCAGUGGCGAAGGCGGCCUUCUGGACUGACACUGACGCUGAGGUGCGAAAGCGUGGGUAGCAAACAGGAUUAGAUACCCGUGUAGUC